UGACAGCGGACUGUCCACUGACGAGUCUGAGCCAGCCACAACUCCCAGAGGUUUCCGAGCACUGCCCAUAACCCAACCCACUCCCCGGGGAGGUCCAGAGGAGACCAUCACUCAGCAAGGACGAACGCCAAGGACAGUAACUGAGUCCAGCUCAUCCCACCCUCCUGAGCCCCAGGGCCUAGGCCUCAGGUCUGGCUCCUACAGCCUCCCUAGGAAUAUCCACAUUGCCAGAAGCCAGAACUUCAGGAAAAGCACCACCCAGGCUAGCAGUCACAACCCUGGAGAACCGGGGAGGCUUGCGCCAGAGCCUGAGAAAGAACAGGUCAGCCAGAGCAGCCAACCCAGGCAGGCACCUGCCAGCCCCCAGGAGGCUGCCCUUGACUUGGACGUGGUGCUCAUCCCUCCGCCAGAAGCUUUCCGGGACACCCAGCCAGAGCAGUGUAGGGAAGCCAGCCUGCCCGAGGGGCCAGGACAGCAGGGCCACACACCCCAGCUCCACACACCAUCCAGCUCCCAGGAAAGAGAGCAGACUCCUUCAGAAGCCAUGUCCC
Molecule: long non-coding RNA, 551 nt
Filed under: Homo sapiens (human)
Lineage: Eukaryota; Metazoa; Chordata; Mammalia; Primates; Hominidae
Description: HSALNT0020723
Source: RNAcentral